RNAcentral lists this transfer RNA (67 nucleotides) under Marmota monax (woodchuck). Its description in RNAcentral is "tRNA.Ala". It matches the Rfam family "tRNA". From Rfam's summary of the family: Transfer RNA (tRNA) molecules are approximately 80 nucleotides in length. Lineage: Eukaryota; Metazoa; Chordata; Mammalia; Rodentia; Sciuridae. The record is from RNAcentral.
GGUUAUGGCUCAAUGGUAGAGUGCUCGCCUAGCAUGCAAGAAACACUGGGUUCAAUCCUCAGCACCA